GGUUGUGGCUCAGUGGUAGAGCACUUGCCUAGUUUGUGUGAGGCACUGGGUUCAAUUCUCAGCACCA
This 67-nucleotide transfer RNA is filed under the name Marmota monax (woodchuck). Its description in RNAcentral is "tRNA.Thr". The record is from RNAcentral. Lineage: Eukaryota; Metazoa; Chordata; Mammalia; Rodentia; Sciuridae.